UUUAUUUUUAAGACAUGCAACAAAUUUCAUUAAAUUCUCCAGACAUAUAUGUGAGAUAUGAAAGACUAGUCAUGUAUUGUAAAGAUUACAAAAACUGAUAGCUAGAGAGAUUCAAUAAUGGGUAUACUGUUAUAGUUCAUUUAUUCAUUCAUUAAAUCAGAAAACUUUAAUUGAAUGCUUACUCUCUGCCAAGUAUCUUACCAGUCUCUGUCUUUAAACUGUAAAAUUGUGUGAUGAGGACUAUUGUAUGCAAGUGGCCUGGAAGACAGAGUCAUGGGUUAAGCUUAGGGGCUAGUGGAGAGAGAGACAGCUGGGAAAGUUUGGAAAUAGGUCACACUUGAGUGCAACCUUGACAAGGUGAAUAGAAUUUCCCAAAGAAGAGUAAUUUCCCAAAGAAAAGGAAAGGUUGGGGAUCAAUGGGUGUUUUGAGAGGCGCACCUUGUAGAGGCAGAUGUCACUCUCCAGUUCUUAAUGUUGGAACUUUGUCCUGAAGGCCACUGCCACUUCUAAGGAAGGGUGUGGUUUGGAGUGGCUGAAUGGAGUGAUGGAGAACAGCAAAGUCUUUGGUAUCAGACAGGUUUAUUCUGGAGCUUCUGCUUGUUACCUCUGUAACCCUGAGCAAGUUAUUGAAUUCCUCUAAACCUCAGUGUCUUCAUCCUAAAAUAAGAAUAAUAAUACUACCUACCUUGUAGCUGUUCAUAAGAAUUAAAUGAAUUAAAACAUAAAAGUCACCUGGUGCAAUGCCUGGCCCUUAGCAUAAACUUAAUAAAUGCUAUUUUCUACUGAUUUGUCCAUAAAUAAGGACUAGGCACUAUUACUAUCUUCUUCUUCUUCUUCUUCUUUUUUUCAAUUUGAAUUCAAGAGAAGUUCAAUAGCUUGACCUCACAGCUGCUAUGGGGCAGAACCAUCUGUUCUUUGAUUUUCAUCCUCUGCUGCCCCUCACUCAGCACUCUAACAGACCUGGAUUUCCCUGUCAGCCAGGUGUGUCCAGGGAGAGCCCAACAUACCAGCUCCAGGACUUGAAGGAGGAACAAUAAGAGCUUCUGUAUCCAGACCACGUAGAACAAUAACAUAGCUUCUAAAAGUGAUGGCACUUCUGUAAAUACUUGCAAGAGAAUUUUACUAUGUCAAGUGUUUGGGAAAUUUGUGUUUCAGAAUAAUUAAUGAAGUCAGGCCAAGACAACUUCACAGAGCUGAGUAGCUGCCAAGUUCCUUCUGCCUUCUGACUCAUGUUUCCCUGCUUCCACUCCCUGGGCUCUUACUGUGCCCACACCACAUGCUUCUACCAUAGCUUUGGUCAAGUAAAUUUGUAACUGGGUGCUUUGGAGUCUGUCUUAAUCACUAGUCUACAGUCUUCCCUGUGGGGCAAAGAUUUGCAAUCCGAGUUCCAACACAGGGAUAUAAGAAUGCACACUCUCUCUCACCAGAACAGUAAAAUGGCCUCACUUUCUCUAUGUUCUUCAUCCUUUAAGGAGUUGUAAUAGGAAUUCACUCAACUUCUGGGUGAAUGAGAACCCUGUACUGGAGAAUAAGGAAGAGAAACUUAAAUACAGGCUUUCUGUGGAUAAGGAAGUUUUGUACAAUAUUUCUUAGGGAAUGUAGGGAAAUGUUUAUUCAUUUUUAAAUCUGCAGAAAUGAGCAAAAUACCUGGAAAGUAGUUUUAAAGAUAAUCUAUAGUGAGCAUGAGACAUCAUUAGAAAGAAGGUAGCACAUUCACAAAUGGUUAAGAUGCAAAACAGAUUAAGAGUAAGAUAUAGAGAAUCAAUCAGAUGAAAGGUAGGUUAUAUCUUUAACAGUAAAAGGCACAUGAUGCAGCAGCAUUAAAAACCUUUCUGAAGCAAAGAUAGGAUUUCAACAGAAAAGGACUGAGAAGUAUGGCAUCCUUGACAGGAGAACAACAUGAGCAAAAAUGUAGAAGUGGGAAAGUUUCAGACCUGAGACGGGGAAAUUAAUGACUUAGUUUAUCUGUCCAAUGGACACAUUUAGGGAUAUGGUAGUGGAUAACACUGGAAAGUAGUUAAUUGAGUAAAUAGCCUUUAAUGACUAUUAAAGGGCCUAGACUUAGUUUGAUAGAUAGAUGGGAGCUGUUGGGGAUUUUAAAGCAUGUAAAUAGAUAAUAAAAAAACAGCUUUGGAAAAAUUAACCUGGCAGAAUUGGAGACAUGGAAUGGAAAAAAUAGGAGAAAUGAUUGCAGUAAGUGUAGUAAGAGGAAAGAGGGCUGAUGUGGGGUAGUGUGAAGGGGAGACAUCUGAUUCUGGAGAAAAUGCGAAGGUAUGACAUUGGAUUUGGGAAGUGACUGACAUAGAGCAAGGCAGAAAAGGUCACUCAGUCAUGGCAUAUGGGAAAACUUUUAUGCCAUCAUAAAUUACAGAGAAGAUAGCAGGAAUGGUGACUUGGGAAGAAAAAUGAUGGAUCAUGGAUCUUAUUUGGUAUAUUUUGUGUUCCAGAUAUGGUAAGUCAUCUGGAAAUUUAAAUUUAGUCUUCAGAAGAGGCAAUAGUUUAUAAAUGAAGAUUUGAGAGUCAUUCUUAUAGAGUGAUGAUUAAAAUAAUGGAAGUGGAUGAUAUUUGGAAAAGAGAUAUAAAGAGAUAAGAGAUCUAAGGACACCUACAUUCAUGAGGGCAGGGGAAGCAGUGGAACAAGGGACAGAGAUGGGGAAAGGGUCAUCAAAGUGACUGGAGAUGAAGAUAGUACUGUGCCAGGGAGUGAAGGGAAGGGUGAGUCUUGUGACAGCACCAGGGCUGAGUUGAUCAGGAUAGCAAUUAGCUGGGAGACUUGGUAAUCAGAAAAUCACCAAUGACCUUGAGAGGAGUUUCAAUGGAGGGAAGGGGGGCAUUACAUCAUGGAAAAAUGUUAAGCAAGAAGAGUAGGUACAAAACUAGUGUAUGUGAUUGGUUUCAUUAGACUUUCAAAUCAUUUGAUAGCAGGAAUAAAAGAGGGAUAGGAAAGUGAUGAGAAGAGACUUUAUGGACAGAUGAUAAGUAAGGGUUUGUAGAGAAGGUCAUAUAAGCAAAAACUUGAACAUCAACUCAGAGAAAGACUUAAGUUGCAGGAGAAGGAUGAUAACUGAUGGAGGGACCCAGUACCAAAGAGGAAGGGGGAACUUGGACUAAGAACAGUGGUUGGUGGUUCAACCUCAGAUUUAGGAAAUGGGAAAGAGAAGAAAGAGGAAGGAUACACAGAGGUGUUGAGGCAAGAAGAAAGGAAUUUGAAGUUGCUCAAAUGAGAGAGAUUAUAUGUUGGUAAAAUAAGCAAUGAAGUCAUGUGCUAUGAUUGGGAAGCUUGGCAGAACUGGGACCUUGAGGAGAAUGAGAGACUGAAAAAUUUCUAGAAAAUGGCAUGAUUAAUUAAUGAAAGUUGAAUAAAAGCAGAUGUGAGUAUCAGUAGACCGAACAAAGAAUGGAUAUGUGGUGAAUCCAGUCCAGAUUGAUUCAAGGUUUUCUCUAGGAACAUUUGGCAAACCAUUCUCAAAGGCUGCAGCAUGGCAAGGUGGAUCAGGAGGAGCUUGGGGUGUUGAGAUAUCCUGGAGUGGCAGUUAAGUUCAUUUGUGAAAUGGUUAAUUAUAUGCCAAGUCUAACAGAUAUCACAGAAAAGACAUCUGGUGGUAACAAUAAGUGUAAGACACAAUUGUAGGGGUUGCAAGUAUUUGAGAGAGAAGGAAGGGCAGGGAUAACUGUCAGAGAGGAAUUUGGGGGAUUGGGUGUCUUCAGUGUGGAAUCUCUGUAAGCACAUCUGUGUUUGGGGGGCCUGCUAAGUGACUGAGUACAUUGCAAGUAGAAGAUAGCUUGGAGUUCAGGAGAUCAGAAACCAGUAAUUUUUCAAUUUACAUGUUUCUGUACAAAUUUGAAUUAUUUUUGCAACAAGCAAAUAUUACUGCCAGAAUUUUUUUAAACAAUGAAAUCAAAACAAAUAAAGUUAUAACACUCAAAGGAACAAACAGAGAGAGAAAUUUCAGGUUCGCAUCCAGGUUAAUAAAUCAAUUCUUUUCUGAACUCACUAAAUAUUCAGCUGGACUGGAUGGAAAGUUGGUUUAUGUUUGCAGGUCUCUGGAAUUUAAAAGAAAUGAAAAGAACACGUGAGGUUAGCCUAUGAGAAGCAUUUUUAGCAAGAAUCAUGGACAGUUCCACAGGUGAUGGUGGGGAUGAGAAGAGACAUCAACCAUUCUUCAGAAGGGGAAGUCAGUCACUGAGAAAAAAGGGCAAAGUACAGGGAAGUUGGUAGAGAACUUUGAGGAGGAUGCAACAGAGCAACAUAUUGCCUUUUAUGAGCUCCAUAAAGGAAGAGGCAGUUGAGCCAUGUGGACAAAGCAAUGGUCUGAACAUGGCGAUGGGGAGCAGGGGUGAUGAAUUCCUCGCUUCCAGGAGAGCACAAGUAAGUGGAGCAUACAGCCUCCUUGGAAAGGAUUAGAAGAGGUUUAGUAUUGUUGAGGCUGAGGAACGAGUAUGAAAAGACUCCGUUAAUAAAAUGAAAGACUGAAAAGUCAAAAUUGGGGAAAGUUUGUUCAUAAAAAGAGAAAGCAGAGUUGUAGCACAUCCUAGUCCCUCUGUUUCUGGCAUUUAUGAUGCAUAGACGUAACCCAGAUCAAUAAGCCACUGGACAUUGCUGUCAGUCCCCAAAGACCUUGAAGGCCUUGAGAGUGGAAUCAAAUCUCAGGAGGGAGAGGAGAUGCCUCUUGUUUUUAUGCAGGAGGGAAGGGAUGCACCCUCGGCCCUGUUUUCCUGUGUAGCUGAAGUGGAAAUGAGGAGGAAGUAAAGGGUUUAUUCUUUAAAUCUCCUUGCAAAUGACCCACUGCCUUGGCUUUCACCUUCAGGUCAGAGUGAAAAGAGAGAAGGGAAUCAGCACUUUUCUGAGACUGACCAAGUAGGGGAUGAUGUUUUGAAUUUUUAGUAAAUUAACACAAAGACCUUAGAUUUCUUUAAAUUCUACUUUGAAUAAACAGGAAGUUGCUAAAAAAAAAAAAAAACCUCAUGCCAUACAGAAAACAAAGAAAAUGGCUUAAUAAAAGAGAGAACUAAAUUUAGAGCCUAAUUCAUACUCAGCUUAAAUUCAGCAGAAAUUCUAGUGCCAGGUGCAUUGCAAGUAUCACAUUAAGUGUUUGCUAUUAUAUCUGUAACUGAAGUUCAUUGAGCUUAUAACUGUGGAACAUUAUAUAUAUAAUUGCAUUUAAUCCUCACAGCCACCCUAAUAGCUGUGCAUCAUUAUUAUGCUCAUUUUAUUACUUCUGAGGAAACAAGUGUGGAGUGGCAAGGAAAAGUCUGUUGUCACAUAGCUAAUUGGUGGAGAAUCUGGAUUCACACUCAAGUGUGUCUGACUCCAGGAGCAGAGUGCUUAUUACGCUAUCCUACACCACCUGUCUUUGUACGAACAAACUUCAUCUGUCAGAGGAAGAAGUAAAUGUGAGUUGAGAUUAAAUGGUAGUAACAGAAAUUGUGGUUUGAGCUAAGGAAGAACUUCCUGAGUGCUUAAAGGAUAGCGAAAAUCAAAGAUAGCCACGUCUUCUUGGAGGGGUUCAGGCCUCCCCCUUUCCCUGGUACCCUCCUGCUACCCCUCCAUUCCUUCUAUGAAUGUCUUAGCCCUGCAAACGGUAAGCCAGAAGUGCGUGAGAAUUAACACCAUAAGGAGCACAGAAAUACGGCUGAUCAAGAGCUCAGCCCCCUGGCCUCUUGGGUGUGUGUCCAAUGGACCCUGUGUGCUGAAGUUCCCCAGGGAAGUGGAGCUCCAGGUGCCCCAGGGGUGACCUGUUUCAUAACAUAGCCCUUAUCGCCCUCAUUUCCUUCCCUCGCCCAUCCCCCUCCCUAUCUCCAAGAUGACCUGCAAGUCUCAAAGUCUCAUCUUCCUGAAGUCUCAGCUCCCCUGAAGUCUCAGCUUCUCUGUGGCUGGGCUCUGGCCUGCCUCUCUGACCUCAUGUCAGGCCACAAUCGUGUCACUCAGUGCACUCUGGUGACACCAGCUUUUCAAGUUUUCUCCCCAGUUCAGGUAUUCACACCUGCUGUUCUCACUCUGUGGAAUAUUAUUUUUUUUUAUCCUACAUGAGCAGCUUUUUCUAAUCCUUCAUGUCUCUGUUUAAAUGUCACUGAAAAAAUGUGUUCCCCUUGCAGGCUGAGCUCAGUCUUCUGCAUUGCAAUCUAGUCUUGCCAUCUGCACACUUGUCACUGUUGGUUACUGAAGCCUCCCUGCAUGUCUACUGGUAAGAAGUCUGUCCGUACCUGACUGAAGGCUCCUUGUACUUCUGUCUAGAGGUCAGCUCAGUUUCCAAAGUUUGCACUUAAUACUACAUGUUUGUCAAAGAGAAGAAAAAUAAUUUGAGAACAAUGAGGUGGGCUCUGAGGGGUACCAGGUAAAGUGUAAUUGGAAAAUGAGAGAGGUUGGGAAGGGCUUUAUGUGGAACAGCACUCACGUGUGAGGAAUAAGUAAGAUUUACAGAUGAAAAAGAGUAUUUGUCCAGUACCUGCUAUGGGCCUGGCAUGGUGCUGUUUUAACAAUGUGCAUUAUAUAAUGUAAGUUUUACAAACUUGCAAAACUAUUCUAAUUUUAAAAACCAAAACUCUAAGCAUUAAGUAGCUUGCCCAUAGCCACAAAGCUAGCAAGUGAUGGAGCCAUUCUUUGAACCCAGGUCUUUUUCUUUUCUUUAACCAAAGUACAUUCUAUUUUCAGUUCUACCUCAAAAUUCCUAUGUUGAUCAAACAAGCGACCAGGUGCUGAGGGAUGGAUGAAGUGGAGUACUCCACAGUCGCUCCUGGGGAGAAGCAAGCAUCAGACCUGGUAACUGGAGUCAGGGGCAUAGUUUGUGUUGAAUUCCAAGUGAUGAACUGGAAGACCUCUGGGAACAGAAAGCUGUGUGAAAGCUGAGACCAAGUUUGCACCCCUGCAAACAUGGCUAUACACCAUGCUUUGCUCACUUCUUAACAUUGUUUUGAGACUCAAAUACAAAAUCAUAAUUUGAAAGUACCUUAUAAAUUUCAAAGUUCCUUAUAGAUUCAGGUUGUUACACUGGUGUUCUGUCUUUCCAGAUAGCACCUAAAAUCACCCAGUAUGCUCGGAUAAUUAGGAAAUAGCAGUGAAAGAGUUUCUGGGCGCAUGUAAAAUGGUAAGUGAGGAAUGAAAGGACAAUGACAAAUAAUUUAGUU
Long non-coding RNA from Phyllostomus discolor (pale spear-nosed bat), 7125 nucleotides. RefSeq lists it as uncharacterized. The record is from RefSeq and is a predicted model, not a curated record. Lineage: Eukaryota; Metazoa; Chordata; Mammalia; Chiroptera; Phyllostomidae. The transcript has 3 exons.